ACAGCAGCCGCGGUAAUACGGAGGGUGCAAGCGUUAUCCGGAUUCACUGGGUUUAAAGGGUGCGUAGGAGGGUAGGUAAGUCAGUGGUGAAAUCUCCGGGCUCAACUCGGAAACUGCCGUUGAUACUAUCUGUCUUGAAUACCGUGGAGGUGAGCGGAAUAUGUCAUGUAGCGGUGAAAUGCUUAGAUAUGACAUAGAACACCGAUUGCGAAGGCAGCUCACUACACGAAUAUUGACUCUGAGGCACGAAAGCGUGGGGAUCAAACAGGAUUAGAUACCCUGGUAGUCCACGCCCUAAACUAUGGAUACUCGACAUACGCGAUACACUGUGUGUGUCUGAGCGAAAGCAUUAAGUAUCCCACCUGGGAAGUACGACCGCAAGGUUGAAACUUAAAUAAAUUGACGGG
Molecule: ribosomal RNA, 407 nt
Filed under: uncultured bacterium
Lineage: Bacteria
Description: bacterial SSU rRNA
Rfam family: Bacterial small subunit ribosomal RNA
Source: RNAcentral